RNAcentral lists this ribosomal RNA (252 nucleotides) under uncultured bacterium. RNAcentral describes it as "partial 16S ribosomal RNA". It matches the Rfam family "Bacterial small subunit ribosomal RNA", at positions 524 to 776 of the family's 1533-position model. The record is from RNAcentral.
UACGGAGGAUGCGAGCGUCAUCCGGAUUUAUUGGGUUUAAAGGGUGCGUAGGCGGGCUGUUAAGUCAGCGGUCAAAUGUCGGGGCUCAACCCCGGCCUGCCGUUGAAACUGGCGGCCUCGAGUGGGCGAGAAGUAUGCGGAAUGCGUGGUGUAGCGGUGAAAUGCAUAGAUAUCUCGCAGAACUCCGAUUGCGAAGGCAGCAUACCGGCGCCCGACUGACGCUGAGGCACGAAAGCGUGGGUAUCGAACAGG